UGGGGAAUAUUGCACAAUGGGCGCAAGCCUGAUGCAGCCAUGCCGCGUGUAUGAAGAAGGCCUUCGGGUUGUAAAGUACUUUUAGCGGGGAGGAAGGGAGUAAAGUUAAUACCUUUGCUCAUUGACGUUACCCGCAGAAGAAGCACCGUCUAACUCCGUGCCAGCAGCCGCGGUAAUACGGAGGGUGCAAGCGUUAAUCGGAAUUACUGGGCGUAAAGCGCACGCAGGGGGUUGAUUGAGUCAGAUGUGAAAUCCCCGGGCUUAACCCGAGAGUUGCAGCGGAUACUGGUCAGGAAGAGUCUUGUAGAGGGGGGUAGAAGUCCAUGUGUAGAGGUGAAAUGCGUAGAGAUGUGGAGGAAUACCGGUGGCGAAGGCGGCCCCCUGGACAAAGACUGACGCUCAGGUGCGAAAGCGUGGGGAGCAAACAGG
RNAcentral lists this ribosomal RNA (429 nucleotides) under Chloroflexota bacterium. Its description in RNAcentral is "Chloroflexi bacterium partial 16S ribosomal RNA". It matches the Rfam family "Bacterial small subunit ribosomal RNA", at positions 355 to 776 of the family's 1533-position model. The record is from RNAcentral. Lineage: Bacteria; Bacillati; Chloroflexota.